Long non-coding RNA from Oncorhynchus keta (chum salmon), 263 nucleotides. RefSeq lists it as uncharacterized. The record is from RefSeq and is a predicted model, not a curated record. NCBI's taxonomy places the organism in Eukaryota, Metazoa, Chordata, Actinopteri, Salmoniformes, Salmonidae. The transcript has 3 exons.
UCACAGCCAAACGGAGUCACAGCCAAACGGAGUCACAGCCAAACGGAGUCCACACUGAAACAGAGUCACAGCCAAACAGAGUCCACACUGAAACAGAGUCACAGCCAAACGGAUCCACACUGAAACAGAGUCACAGCCAAACGGAGUCCACACUGAAACAGAGUCACAGCCAAACAAAGUCACAGCCAAACAGAGUCACAGCCAAACAGAGUCACAGCCAAACAGAGUCACAGCCAAACGGAGUCCACACUGAAACAAAGUCA